This 1424-nucleotide ribosomal RNA is filed under the name uncultured Helicobacter sp. Its description in RNAcentral is "bacterial SSU rRNA". It matches the Rfam family "Bacterial small subunit ribosomal RNA". The record is from RNAcentral. Lineage: Bacteria; Pseudomonadati; Campylobacterota; Epsilonproteobacteria; Campylobacterales; Helicobacteraceae.
AGUGAACGCUGGCGGCGUGCCUAAUACAUGCAAGUCGAACGAUGAAGCCUAGCUUGCUAGGUGGAUUAGUGGCGCACGGGUGAGUAAUGCAUAGAUAACAUGCCCUUUAGUUUGGAAUAGCCACUAGAAAUGGUGAUUAAUACCAAAUACUACCUUACGAGGGAAAGAUUUAUCGCUAAAGGAUUGGUCUAUGUCCUAUCAGCUUGUUGGUGAGGUAAAGGCUCACCAAGGCUAUGACGGGUAUCCGGCCUGAGAGGGUGAACGGACACACUGGAACUGAGACACGGUCCAGACUCCUACGGGAGGCAGCAGUAGGGAAUAUUGCUCAAUGGGGGAAACCCUGAAGCAGCAACGCCGCGUGGAGGAUGAAGGUUUUAGGAUUGUAAACUCCUUUUGUUAGAGAAGAUAAUGACGGUAUCUAACGAAUAAGCACCGGCUAACUCCGUGCCAGCAGCCGCGGUAAUACGGAGGGUGCAAGCGUUACUCGGAAUCACUGGGCGUAAAGAGUGCGUAGGCGGGAGGACAAGUCAGGUGUGAAAUCCUAUGGCUUAACCAUAGAACUGCAUUUGAAACUAUCCUUCUGGAGUGUGGGAGAGGUAGGUGGAAUUCUUGGUGUAGGGGUAAAAUCCGUAGAGAUCAAGAGGAAUACUCAUUGCGAAGGCGACCUGCUGGAACAUCACUGACGCUGAUUGCACGAAAGCGUGGGGAGCAAACAGGAUUAGAUACCCUGGUAGUCCACGCCCUAAACGAUGGAUGCUAGUUGUUGGGAGGCUUUGUCUUUCCAGUAAUGCAGCUAACGCCUUAAGCAUCCCGCCUGGGGAGUACGGUCGCAAGAUUAAAACUCAAAGGAAUAGACGGGGACCCGCACAAGCGGUGGAGCAUGUGGUUUAAUUCGAAGAUACACGAAGAACCUUACCUAGGCUUGACAUUGAAGGAAUUCCCUAGAAAUAGGGGAGUGUCUAGCUUUUGCUAGACCCUGAAAACAGGUGCUGCACGGCUGUCGUCAGCUCGUGUCGUGAGAUGUUGGGUUAAGUCCCGCAACGAGCGCAACCCUUUUUCUUAGUUGCUAACAGGUUAUGCUGCGCACUCUAAGAAGACUGCCUGCGUAAGCAGGAGGAAGGUGAGGACGACGUCAAGUCAUCAUGGCCCUUACGCCUAGGGCUACACACGUGCUACAAUGGGGUGUACAAAGAGAUGCAAAGCCGCGAGGCAGAGCUAAUCUAUAAAACAUCUCCUAGUUCGGAUUGCAGGCUGCAACUCGCCUGCAUGAAGCUGGAAUCGCUAGUAAUCGCAAAUCAGCUAUGUUGCGGUGAAUACGUUCCCGGGUCUUGUACUCACCGCCCGUCACACCAUGGGAGUUGUGUUUGCCUUAAGUCAGGAUGCUAAAGCAGCUACUGCCCACGGCACACACAGCGACUGGGGUG